Long non-coding RNA from Hipposideros armiger (great roundleaf bat), 246 nucleotides. RefSeq lists it as uncharacterized. Lineage: Eukaryota; Metazoa; Chordata; Mammalia; Chiroptera; Hipposideridae. The record is from RefSeq and is a predicted model, not a curated record. The transcript has 3 exons.
GGAACGGGCUGGCAGGGCAAUUGGUGCAGUAAUCUUUCAUUUAAUGAACUUGAAAAUUGGAAGGAUUCAUUGAAAACAACUGACCAUUUAAAGAAGUCUCCAGUUUGGUACAGUGAAAGAAGCAAUUUAGAGUUUUGGAGAAAAGUCACAGCUGCAUUUGUAUUAUGACUUUGAAAUUGCUUACUUACAACUUGAGUUCCAGAUUGCCUAUAAAUGUGUCCUGUCAUUCCUGAAGACAUUGGCAAG